This 147-nucleotide unclassified non-coding RNA is filed under the name uncultured Hymenoscyphus. Its description in RNAcentral is "sequence contains ITS2". The record is from RNAcentral. Lineage: Eukaryota; Fungi; Ascomycota; Leotiomycetes; Helotiales; Helotiaceae. RNAcentral also lists the same sequence under 1 other name.
CAACCCUCAAGCUUAGCUUGGUCUUGGGCACUGCCGGUGACGGCUUGCCUUAAAAUCAGUGGCGGUGCCAUUCGAGCUCUACGCGUAGUAAUUAACCCUCGCGAUUGAGUCUUGGUGGAUGCUUGCCAGCAACCCUCAAUUUUUUAU